Molecule: long non-coding RNA, 1071 nt
Filed under: Pogona vitticeps (central bearded dragon)
Lineage: Eukaryota; Metazoa; Chordata; Lepidosauria; Squamata; Agamidae
Description: lncRNA (ENSPVIG00000013074.1)
Source: RNAcentral
AUGGCAAGCGCGCCAACCUCUCCUCUCCCCUGCGCCGCGCAGGUGGCACCCGAUUGUGUCUCGUUGCUGAGCGGCUCCCGCUGUUCCUCGGACGCCAAGAACUCCUUCCGUCUUUUGCCUGACCAGCGCUUGCAGAAUCUGCACUCGGGGCUUUGCCUUUUCCAGGACAUGAGGAGCGCCCGGCUCUUCCUGGGGAAAUGCACCUCCCAAGCGCUGCACUUCGUUCUGGACUGGGGUAGGGGACUUCUCUCUGCGGUUCAGAAGGGGGGGGCUUGCAGGUGGUGCCUUGGCACACAACCCCUCACCUCGCGUCCGGCUUCCUGGCACCUCUGUCCAGGGGACCAAAUCCAAGGGAGAGGGAGGCCUGGGGGGGGCUCACCCUGCCGUCUCUCUCCCCCCCCCCCACCUGCAUCUCCUUGCCCAGAGGUCUACUGCCCCCAAAGCCUAGCCUGGAGAUCCUGGAAGGACACCUGCCUUUUCCUCGUGCUGGAUGCGGCCCUAGAGUGGAGCCAGGCCUUGACUUUCUGCCAGCGGUUCCACGGCGGAAGCCUGGUCACCCUGAGAGGCCCACGGGAUCUGGUGAGGCGCCUGUCCGGAUUGGGGGAUGAAGGAGAGCAUCACGAAACCCCAAAGGGUUCCCCCCCCAGCCCUCCGCAAUAUAUCCCACCUCCUGGGUCCCUCGGCCGCCCUUUCGUGGCAUUUCCCAGCGUGAAUCUUUUGGGGGAGGGAGGGUGCCAAGGGCCACCAUCCUUGCCCCACGCUGGCGCCAGAGAACUGGGGUGGGGUGGGGGGAGGAAGCUGGGAAGAAGGGCUCUGUGUUUCCCCUCCCCAGGCGUGGCUGCAGGAGGAGCUGCAAGUGAGCGUUUGGACUGGGUUGCGCAGCAGCGGAGGAGACCUGUGGAGCUGGGCGGAUGGCGCCCCUUUCAACCCAGUUUUGCGGCGGUUCAUGUCCUCCUGGGGAACCCCCCGCACGAUGACCUGCAUGGUCGCCCUGCCCUCGGGAUUCCUGAAGGCCGAGCCGUGCCACCGGCCUCACCGAUGGAUCUGUCAGGUCCCACACCAGACGGGUGA